Long non-coding RNA from Callithrix jacchus (white-tufted-ear marmoset), 1562 nucleotides. The record is from Ensembl. NCBI's taxonomy places the organism in Eukaryota, Metazoa, Chordata, Mammalia, Primates, Cebidae.
CUAAGGAAUGGAAAGCAGCACAUCCCGGCUUCACCACACACAAGGGCCGGCAGUGCAGUUCACAUAGUCUCUGAACUCCCUUUACUGAUCACUCAGUUAACCCACAGGGGUUCCUAAGUAGUCCAGGGGUUUGGGGAAGGGGUGUUAUCCUCCAGCAUGCUGGCAUCUGGCAAGGAGCUUAGAACAGGGGAAGCCAUGCCUUUCUGUGGGUAGAAUACACCAGAGGACUCAGAUUUGUUCCCAUCUGUCUUAGGGGAGCCUCAAUAGCUGUGUUGAGCUUGUGGGGUGUUUCUGUGGCCCAAAGCAUAAUGGGCAGGUGGGUAUAGAGGGUCAUGAGUUCAGGGUCUGGGAGAGCCUCUAUUUUGGGAGAGCCCAGGAAAUGGGGGCCAGUCAUCUGUUGAAUUAAUGCUGUAUAACAUGAGGCCAGAAAUCCUGGGGCAACUGAUGGCCGUGCUCAAUGAUCAAGAGACUGUAGGCAGCAUUUGGUCCCCUAUUUCCUUUUUUUUUUUUUUCCUUUUUUCCUUUUAAGUAUGAUCUUCAGAACAGCUUGUAUUUCUAGGUGGCUAAAAUAAACAUUUUUCUUCCUUCCUCUCUCUGGAUGUUUACCUGACAAUCUCCUGGUGGUAUGAGUAGCCUUCUGGUGUUCUGUCCUUACAGAUUGUCACACGAAAAAAUUGGGGCGGUGUGGGGGUGACCUCUGUAUCUGCUGGCCUUGCAGGCAGCGGCUUCCUUUUCCAGGGUGACCCACUGGAGCUCUGGAGGUGGUGGGAAGCGGGUAGCGAGGAGCGACAGCAGCAGGAACCGACAAGGGAGGCACACACUCUCCCGGGGCCCGUGGGACGCAGGUGAAGUUACCCCCAUUGAGGUUAGGGUUAGGCCAUCUAAUCCUUUCGCGCUGGCUCCAUUUUAUCAACACAGUGAAGCCUAGUGUCGCAUCACCCUUUCCGACUGUGGCUAAGGAGAAAUCGCUGCCUCCCGGAAGCCUGCUGAUGGGUUGUCCAAAAGCAGCGCGCCGCGGUGCCCUUCGCCACGGACAGGUCCGCCCCGCACCGAGGCCCCAGGCCACGCAAGGGCGCACCCGGCUCAAGAGACAAGGCAUCCUCCACCGGAGGCCGGCGACCGAGAGUCCCCACGGUCCCAGGAGGGGGUCUGAUUCUGCAAAGGGAAACACAUCCUCCUACCACCGGGACCUGCCCUCCGCGCUGCAGGCAAAGAGUCGGAUACAGCCGCCGCAAUUCCGGAGAGUCCCGGAGGCGACACAGACACCGACGACAGCAGGACCCCGUAGCGCGCAGCGGCGAGCAGCGAGAUCCAGCGCCAGCAAGCCAGCGCGCAGACCAGACCUACUGGGCCAGCUGAUACGGCAAGGACGAGCAUCUGGUGUAUUAGCAUUCUCAUUGGUGGACAUGAUUAUGAGACAGAGGAAGAAAGCUGUGAAACGGGCCUGGGCUUCCACAGGAGGCUAUGCGGGGAUCGGCAGCUGUGGGGUGGCUGGGCUGAAAGCGACCACCUUGGCUCCGACUGAUUCCAUAUCUUCUGGAAGGUGCCACUAUGUUCCCUAG